UAGUAAUUUUACAUGGAUGUUGUGGAGCUAAAGAGAAUCGUUGAGUCAUGUGUUAAUUAUCUUGUUAAUUAUCGAUAGAUUGCACAAUGCCUCUGUCGUUAGAAUUUUAGAUAGGCCUGAUGUUAAGAAUGAUCAAGGGAGAAACCAGCACAGUGGUGAUGGUGAACAGGGCCAGGGACCCAGUGCUCUCCAUCCUCCGUCCAUCUGUACUCAUCUGGAAAAGCCAUCGGGCCAAGCAGGUUUUGGGGGUGAUUGGAGGCUCUGUCGGAACCGGCUCCCGGACUUGGCGUGUCUGUGACAGCCCCUCUCCCGGGCACCAAGGACCAUUCUGCCUUCAUCCUGCCGUGACUGACAGGUUUUUAUGAGCUAUCAAUCACCUUAACAAAGCUGCAGCAUGAGAGAGAGCGAGCCACUGCCAGGGGAGGUCUGACCUGCGGCCUAGCGUGACAUUCAGGGAAGGAGAGCUGCUCACCCAGGAAAUCCCAUUACACCAAAGCAUGAUGGAUAUCGCUCCUGGAUAAAGCUCAUAUGUGGUCUGACAUAUAAUUUGUUAUAAUUUGUAAAAAUCAUAUGGCCACGUUCACAUUUCUGUCUUUCAUUCUUUUGAAACUCCUCACUCUCUCCUAUACUUUAGCCUAAACACAGUGUCUCACAUACUGAUGGUCCAGAAUAUUCUGUGGAUCCGCACAUCUGACUCCUCUGCAGAUGGCUAGGAAGUGUCCCAGCCCAGGAAGGGUAAAAUGGCCCCAGUAUGACUAUGAUAUGUCAGUGGGGGAGCUGAGAAGUUUGCUAGUGUAUUGAAUGCACUGUAAACUGUAUAAACUUGUCAUCAUCAUAUCGUCUCUGCCAUGUGGAGCAGUGGAGGCUGCUGAGGGAAGGAUGGCUCAUAAUAAUGUCUGGAAUGGAGUCAAUGGAAUACUAUCAAACACAUCAACAAUGUGGUUUCCAUGUGGUUGAUAGCAUUUGAUUUACUCCAUUCCAGCUAUUAUUAUGAGCCAUUCUCCCUCAGCAGCCUCUACUGAUGUGGAAGUAAUGUUAACAUUAGCAUGCUCAUUGUUCAGUUAUAAUAGAAGACAGACUAUUGAUUUAUUGUUCAGUUCUAAUAUAAUACAUACUAUUGAUUUCUUGCACACACAGGAUUUGGCUCAUAUUAUUUUUUAUUUUUUUAGUUCUUCAACCCAGACGGCCAUUUUUAUAGAUGUCUGGGAAUUUACUCUAUUAAAAAUGAAGGACAUUAAUAUGAGAUCU
This is a long non-coding RNA of Oncorhynchus nerka (sockeye salmon), 1248 nucleotides long. RefSeq lists it as uncharacterized. The transcript is spliced from 3 exons. NCBI's taxonomy places the organism in Eukaryota, Metazoa, Chordata, Actinopteri, Salmoniformes, Salmonidae. The record is from RefSeq and is a predicted model, not a curated record.